This 397-nucleotide ribosomal RNA is filed under the name uncultured bacterium. RNAcentral describes it as "bacterial SSU rRNA". It matches the Rfam family "Bacterial small subunit ribosomal RNA", at positions 28 to 417 of the family's 1533-position model. The record is from RNAcentral.
GAUGAACGCUGGCGGCGUGCUUAACACAUGCAAGUCGAACGAAGAUGCCGGAGUGCUUGCACUUUGGCAGACUGAGUGGCGGACGGGUGAGUAACGCGUGGGUAACCUGCCUUAUACAGGGGGAUAACAGUUGGAAACGACUGCUAAUACCGCAUAAGCGCACGGUAUCGCAUGAUACAGUGUGAAAAACUCCGGUGGUAUAAGAUGGACCCGCGUCUGAUUAGCUUGUUGGUGAGGUAACGGCCCACCAAGGCGACGAUCAGUAGCCGGUCUGAGAGGAUGAACGGCCACAUUGGGACUGAGAUACGGCCCAGACUCCUACGGGAGGCAGCAGUGGGGAAUAUUGGGCAAUGGGGGAAACCCUGACCCAGCAACGCCGCGUGAAGGAAGAAGGCCU